GAUGAACGCUGACAGAAUGCUUAACACAUGCAAGUCUUUGGCGAAUCUGUGCUUGCACAGGCUAGCCAAGGCGGACGGGUGAGUAACGCGUAAAGAACUUGCCCUGCAGACAGGGAUAACAGACGGAAACGACUGAUAACACCUGAUACAGUUGCCGGCACGCAUGUGCCUGGCAAUGAAAAGAGAUGCUGCAGGAGAGCUUUGCGUCCUAUUAGCUUGUUGGUGAGGUGACGGCUCACCAAGGCGAUGAUAGGUAGCCGGCCUGAGAGGGUGAACGGCCACAAGGGGACUGAGAUACGGCCCUUACUCCUACGGGAGGCAGCAGUGGGGAAUAUUGGACAAUGGGGGCAACCCUGAUCCAGCAAUUCUGUGUGCACGAAGAAGGUUUUCGGAUUGUAAAGUGCCUUCAGCAGGGAAGAAGAAAGUGACGGUACCUGCAGAAGAAGCGACGGCUAAAUACGUG
This 463-nucleotide ribosomal RNA is filed under the name uncultured bacterium. RNAcentral's name for it is "partial 16S ribosomal RNA". It matches the Rfam family "Bacterial small subunit ribosomal RNA", at positions 28 to 507 of the family's 1533-position model. The record is from RNAcentral.